AGAGAGCAGAACGAUGCCGGCUGGCAAGCAGAUGGCUGCUCCGUUUAUUGGUUUAUUCGUCGGUAACGGCAACGUGUCCCGCCCGAACUAAGUUUUCUUUGUGUUGUCUAGAAUGAAUACGACCAUGGUGAAUAUCUACUGUACCCAAUCACCUCAGGAAAGAGCAUCGUACGUGCCUUGGAUACGUGUCAAUCAUCAAGAGUCAAGAGAAUCAUUGAUAGAGAUUCAUAUUAAUGAAAGGUGAGCAAAGAGUAACAAGUAACGAGGAAUAUUACAUUAAAGAUAAUAAAAAAAUGUGUAAAUGGCAAACAAAAAGCUCAAUGGUAGAAAAUCCUUUAAGCCAAGUAAAAUGAGAACUUUGAAGAGGGUAAGAAGAGUCAAAAGUCAAGUGCCUGUUGAGUAAAAGGUCUUGUUGUCAUUUGGCAAAGAAUUUUGACACUUCAGCAUCCAUGUUAACGAGUUAACGUAGGCGUCCUAAGCCGAUUAAGAGUGGAUACACUUCUUGUACAACUUUGUUCAUGCAUUAAAAGACAAACAGAUUUAUGCUUAAUAUAACCAUCUGACAAAUACGUUAACAAGAUGAAGGUGUAUAAUUUCCCGUACGAAAAGCAAACGACAAAUUUAGGAUACCAAGAAAGUAAUGAAACAGUGAAGAUAAUUAUAUACUUUUCGAUAUGACGUAAAGAUGAGAAUUUAAGGAGUAUAACUCAAAACUAUCUGCGAUAUCAUCAAAAAUUUAUUCAAAAGAUGAUUUUCUCUGCAUAAAAAAGAGAUUUGUAUUUCAUUUACGUUGAUUACAGCAAUUAUUAAACUUCAUUUAAUACUUUUCUAUAAAAAUAAAAAGUACAUAAGUUUCAUUACACAGUAAAUAAAUUCUCCAGGAACGAAUUUAUUAAUCUGCAAUGCGUAAAAGUAAUUACUGUGAAUCAAUAUAGAAAGUUAGCUUGAACAAAUUAUAUAAAUUCCUACUGCUUCCAUUUAUUUUAA
RNAcentral lists this long non-coding RNA (987 nucleotides) under Chelonus insularis. Its description in RNAcentral is "uncharacterized LOC118073262, transcript variant X1". The record is from RNAcentral. Lineage: Eukaryota; Metazoa; Arthropoda; Insecta; Hymenoptera; Braconidae.